RNAcentral lists this ribosomal RNA (232 nucleotides) under uncultured bacterium. Its description in RNAcentral is "partial 16S ribosomal RNA". It matches the Rfam family "Bacterial small subunit ribosomal RNA", at positions 126 to 354 of the family's 1533-position model. The record is from RNAcentral.
CUGCCCGUAGCAGGGGGAUAAGCGGAAGAAAUUCCGUCUAAUACCGCGUAAUAUCUUUCGGGGGCAUCCCUGAGGGAUUAAAGGAAGCGAUUCCGGCUACGGAUGGGCAUGCGGCGCAUUAGCUAGUCGGCGGGGUAACGGCCCACCGAGGCGACGAUGCGUAGGGGUUCUGAGAGGAAGGUCCCCCACACUGGUACUGAGACACGGUCCAAACUCCUACGGAAGGCAGCAG